This 491-nucleotide ribosomal RNA is filed under the name Dioszegia hungarica. RNAcentral's name for it is "eukaryotic LSU rRNA". The stretch from base 145 to 298 matches the Rfam family "5.8S ribosomal RNA". Lineage: Eukaryota; Fungi; Basidiomycota; Tremellomycetes; Tremellales; Bulleribasidiaceae. The record is from RNAcentral.
UCCGUAGGUGAACCUGCGGAAGGAUCAUUAAUAAAUGGCGACGCUUUCGAGCUUAGCUUUUAUCAUCCUAUACACCUGUGAACUAUUUGCCUUCGGGCACCAAUCAAACAUAAUGUAAUGAAUGUAAUCUACUAUAAUAAAUACAACUUUCAACAACGGAUCUCUUGGCUCUCACAUCGAUGAAGAACGCAGCGAAAUGCGAUAAGUAAUGUGAAUUGCAGAAUUCAGUGAAUCAUCGAAUCUUUGAACGCAAAUUGCGCCUUUUGGUAUUCCGAAAGGCAUGCCUGUUUGAGUGUCUUAUAAACCUCACCCCUAGUGUUUUAUUACAAUAGGUGGUGCUUUGGGUGUUGCCGUUUACUCUGGCUCGCCUUAAAUGUCUAAGUGGAAUGCGUAAUAAGUUCUCGCAACCCUCCACUCUAACACACUUUAUAUUCUGACCUCAAAUCAGGUAGGACUACCCGCUGAACUUAAGCAUAUCAAUAAGCGGAGGA